CUACGUGCCAGCAGCCGCGGUAAUACGUAGGGUGCGAGCGUUAAUCGGAAUUACUGGGCGUAAAGCGAGCGCAGACGGUUACUUAAGCAGGAUGUGAAAUCCCCGGGCUCAACCUGGGAACUGCGUUCUGAACUGGGUGACUAGAGUGUGUCAGAGGGAGGUAGAAUUCCACGUGUAGCAGUGAAAUGCGUAGAGAUGUGGAGGAAUACCGAUGGCGAAGGCAGCCUCCUGGGAUAACACUGACGUUCAUGCUCGAAAGCGUGGGUAGCAAACAGGAUUAGAUACCCUGGUAGUCCACGCCCUAAACGAUGUCAAUUAGCUGUUGGGCAACUUGAUUGUUCAGUAGCGUAGCUAACGCGUGAAAUCGACCGCCUGGGGAGUACGGCCGCAAGGUUAAAACUCAAAUGAAUUGACGGGGGCCCGCACAAGCGGUGGAGCAUGUGGUUUAAUUCGAUGCAACGCGAAGAACCUUACCUACUCUUGACAUCCAGAGAACAUUC
RNAcentral lists this ribosomal RNA (500 nucleotides) under uncultured bacterium. RNAcentral's name for it is "bacterial SSU rRNA". It matches the Rfam family "Bacterial small subunit ribosomal RNA", at positions 501 to 1000 of the family's 1533-position model. The record is from RNAcentral.